RNAcentral lists this ribosomal RNA (716 nucleotides) under Brevibacterium epidermidis. RNAcentral describes it as "bacterial SSU rRNA". It matches the Rfam family "Bacterial small subunit ribosomal RNA", at positions 797 to 1507 of the family's 1533-position model. The record is from RNAcentral. Lineage: Bacteria; Bacillati; Actinomycetota; Actinomycetes; Micrococcales; Brevibacteriaceae.
AAGUCGGUACGAUUGGGCCUAGGUGUGGGGGACAUUCCACGUUCUCCGCGCCGUAGCUAACGCAUUAAGUGCCCCGCCUGGGGAGUACGGUCGCAAGGCUAAAACUCAAAGGAAUUGACGGGGGCCCGCACAAGCGGCGGAGCAUGCGGAUUAAUUCGAUGCAACGCGAAGAACCUUACCAAGGCUUGACAUACACUGGACCGUUCUGGAAACAGUUCUUCUCUUUGGAGCUGGUGUACAGGUGGUGCAUGGUUGUCGUCAGCUCGUGUCGUGAGAUGUUGGGUUAAGUCCCGCAACGAGCGCAACCCUCGUUCUAUGUUGCCAGCACGUGAUGGUGGGAACUCAUAGGAGACUGCCGGGGUCAACUCGGAGGAAGGUGGGGAUGACGUCAAAUCAUCAUGCCCUUUAUGUCUUGGGCUUCACGCAUGCUACAAUGGCUGGUACAGAGAGAGGCGAACCCGUGAGGGUAAGCGAAUCCCUUAAAGCCAGUCUCAGUUCGGAUCGUAGUCUGCAAUUCGACUACGUGAAGUCGGAGUCGCUAGUAAUCGCAGAUCAGCAACGCUGCGGUGAAUACGUUCCCGGGCCUUGUACACACCGCCCGUCAAGUCACGAAAGUCGGUAACACCCGAAGCCGGUGUCCCAACCCACUUGUGGGAGGGGGCCGUCUAAGGUGGGACUGGUGAUUGGGACUAAGUCGUACAAAGGGGUACACAUAA